This is a non-coding RNA of Triticum aestivum (bread wheat), 125 nucleotides long. The record is from Rfam. Lineage: Eukaryota; Viridiplantae; Streptophyta; Magnoliopsida; Poales; Poaceae.
AAUGUCCUCCCUCCGUCCGAAAAUACUUGUCGGAGAAAUGGAUGUAUCUCGAUGUAUUUUAGUUUUACAUACAUCCAUUUUUAUCCAUUACUCCGACAAGUAUUUUGGGACGGAGAGAGUAAUAA